GACGAACGCUGGCGGCGUGCCUAAUACAUGCAAGUCGAGCGAGUCUGCCUUGAAGAUCGGAGUGCUUGCACUCUGUGAAACAAGAUACAGGCUAGCGGCGGACGGGUGAGUAACACGUGGGUAACCUGCCCAAGAGAUCGGGAUAACACCUGGAAACAGAUGCUAAUACCGGAUAACAACAGAUGAUGCCUAUCAACUGUUUAAAAGAUGGUUCUGCUAUCACUCUUGGAUGGACCUGCGGUGCAUUAGCUCGUUGGUAGGGUAACGGCCUACCAAGGCGACGAUGCAUAGCGGGUUUGAGAGGCUGAUCGGCCACAGUGGAACUGAGACACGGCCCAGACUCCUACGGGAGGCAGCAGUGGGGAAUAUUGCACAAUGGGCGCAAGCCUGAUGGAGCAACGCCGCGUGAGUGAAGAAGGGGUUCGGGUUGUAAAGCUCUUUUGUUGGGAAAGAAAAGCAGGGGGAGAAAAUCCCGUUGUUUUGACGGUACCAAAUGAAAAAGCCCCGGCUAACUACGUG
This 519-nucleotide ribosomal RNA is filed under the name uncultured bacterium. RNAcentral describes it as "partial 16S ribosomal RNA". It matches the Rfam family "Bacterial small subunit ribosomal RNA", at positions 28 to 507 of the family's 1533-position model. The record is from RNAcentral.